Molecule: ribosomal RNA, 250 nt
Filed under: uncultured bacterium
Lineage: Bacteria
Description: partial 16S ribosomal RNA
Rfam family: Bacterial small subunit ribosomal RNA
Source: RNAcentral
CGGAGGUGCAAGCGUUAAUCGGAAUUACUGGGCGUAAAGCGCACGCAGGCGGUUGGAUAAGUUAGAUGUGAAAGCCCCGGGCUCAACCUGGGAAUUGCAUUUAAACUGUCCAGCUAGAGUCUUGUAGAGGGGGUAGAAUUCCAGGUGUAGCGGUGAAAUGCGUAGAGAUCUGGAGGAAUACCGGUGGCGAAGGCGGCCCCUGGACAAAGACUGACGCUCAGGUGCGAAAGCGUGGGGAGCAAACAGGAUU